UACGUAGGUGGCUAGCGUUGUCCGGAAUCAUUGGGCGUAAAGGGAGCGCAGGCGGACAUUUAAGCUGAUCUUAAAAGUGCGGGGCUCAACCCCGUGAUGGGGUCGGAACUGGAUGUCUUGAGUGCAGGAGAGGAAAGCGGAAUUCCCAGUGUAGCGGUGAAAUGCGUAGAUAUUGGGGAGAACACCAGUGGCGAAGGCGGCUUUCUGGACUGUAACUGACGCUGAGGCUCGAAAGCCAGGGUAGCGAACGGG
This 252-nucleotide ribosomal RNA is filed under the name uncultured bacterium. RNAcentral describes it as "partial 16S ribosomal RNA". It matches the Rfam family "Bacterial small subunit ribosomal RNA", at positions 524 to 776 of the family's 1533-position model. The record is from RNAcentral.